This 3152-nucleotide small RNA is filed under the name Arabidopsis thaliana (thale cress). RNAcentral describes it as "ATSL033290". The stretch from base 1428 to 1648 matches the Rfam family "MIR854 microRNA precursor family". Lineage: Eukaryota; Viridiplantae; Streptophyta; Magnoliopsida; Brassicales; Brassicaceae. The record is from RNAcentral.
UCAAAACCGGUUUUGGUAAACUCGACCGGUUUACUCGACCUUUUUUUGGUUUGUGUGGUUUGUGUUUUUUUGGUUUUGCUGUUACUAACGUAUUAACGUUUAUCUUUGAGUUUCGUCUGUUUUCAGGUUUCAUCAUGAGUAACUAUAGUGGAGAAUCCUCUAUGGACCAUGAUUACAAUGUGGAUGAAGCUGAGUCCUGGUCCGUUAGACCGAGAGAACAACAUGUUUACCAGAGCUUCACGGAUGAAUUCGAACGCUCUGCAGCCCGACGUAAUCAGAGAAGAGCUGAAAUCGCCAGAGGAAAGAGGGCAAUGUCAAGUAGAUAUGAACUGAUUGAUGAGGAUAUCGAAACUGAGUAUGAGCCAGAGUCAUGGCGUAAGGAGAUGAAGCUGCUGAACAAACCCGACGAGGAGUAUAUCAGAUUCUUUGAGAUGAAUGACUUCUGGGAACGCGGUAUCCGUGCUAUGAGACUUUAGCCCAGCUGGGGUUACUGGAGGACGUGCAGCAUCUGUUCGAGAAGUGUCAUCUAGAGACACUCAUGUCUUACCCUUACGCUGCCUAUAAGGAGGAGACAAUCGAGUUUCUUUCCACGCUGCAAGUGGAGAUGUAUGAGGGACUCACAGACUUUGAGCUGGAUACCAUGGGGUUAGGCUUCUUGACGUUCUUAGUGAACGAACAGCGGUAUCAGCUUUCGAUCAAGAAGUUGGAAGAACUGUUUGGUUUCCCUAGUGGAAAGGGAAACAAACCCAGAUUUGACAGAGAAGAGCUUAAGGAUUUAUGGGCCACUAAAGGGAACAAUCUACCGCUAAACUCGGCGCGGUCCAAGAGCAACCAAAUCCGGAGUCCUGUGAUCUGCUACUUUUAGAGAUCGGUUGUCACCGUCUUUUACUCCAGGGAGUCUACAGGCACCGUGUCUAACACGGACAUGGAGAUGAUAAAUUAUGUGCUUACUGGGAUUCUCCGCCGGACGAAAGGGAAGAAUGUCUUGAGAGGCGAUCUCAACAACGCACCACCAGUAAUGCCUCUGUUGAUCCAUCUGUGUGGAUACAGGAAGUGGGCGUUGAGGAACGGAAAGAAGAAGGUGAGAGGAGCACUAUGCGUGGGUGGCGUUGUGACGCCAAUUCUGGAAGCUUGUGGAGUACCGCUCAAGGAACCAGGGUUAGCACCGAGGAUGAUGGACUUAGAUCAUUUGUGCAGAUGUGAGUUCUUGGAGUUUGACAUGGCUGACGACUUUCACCGCUACAGGUUCGAGCAUUCAUCGAUUAGAAUCGCCAACAUUCUUCUCCCCUGCAUUGACGCUACUAGGAUUCUCAAGGGCAGGAACAUUGACUUCAAGCCUGCGCUUGAAGAUCUUUAUUUCGAGGGCAGUCCGCCAACUGUGGAGAUCAGUCACACCGAAGGAGCUACAACAGAAGAUGUUGAUGAGUCGGAUGAUAUAGAUGAGGCAGAGUUUGACACGAGCAUGUAUCAUUUCAGUGUGCAUAUAUCUCCUGCGAGGGAAAGCAAGAGUUUGAGGGAAGCUCACAAGAACAACAGCAAGCUGCAGAAGUGGUGCAAGAAACAGGAUAAGUUACUCGCCAAGUUCCUCAGGGCUAUCAAGUUUCUGAAGGACAAGAUCAGCUGCUCCUCUUCCACUACAGCUAUCCCGCAGGGACAUCUUCCUCAGGACAUGCCUUCGAGGAGAUAUGACGCGCCCGAACCAAGUCAGCGCAGGCCUGAGCCUAGAGAGCAGGAGAUUCCGCAUGUCCCUGCGAGGCAUUCAUCAUUCGAGCCUCGUGAAUCUGGGAGGAAGAGGAGGACCACACUCACUCGAUCUAGCAGUAGGAGCAGACGACUUCUGCAGUUUCGUAGUUUACGCGACCGCGGGGCUGGCCGCAGCAGAAGGAGAGAGGUCGAGUAUCCUUAGAGCGGUGAUGGCCGCCAGAGAGCUGAUGAGGUCGAGUACCCACCUGCUGGAGCUGAUACGGAACAAGGUGGUUCGUCUAUGGCGUGGGAGCAAUCACAGGCAGCCAUUGACGAGCAACUACGUUCAUUCUUCGACUGAGGUAAGCGCCUCACUUCACCAUUGUAUUAUAUCAUCCGCUGUGAUUUGUUUCUUUAUUUUGUUUCAGUGAUUGGAUUUGUCCUGAGUACUCUCUUCCAAGUUUAUUCGCACAGUGGACUGUGUGAUUUAAGUUUGGGGGAGGGCUCAGGAAGUGUGUGUUGCAUUGUAUAUAUUCUUGAGUCUGCAUUCAUCUAAGGCAUAGAAAAACCAAAAAAAUUUUGAAAAAUUUCAGAAAAUGAUUUCACAAAAAAAAAAGAGUGUUCAUGUAGUUGCAUUACAUUUAAGAUCGAGUCUAGAGUGUUUCAUUUAGGAUUGUUGCAUAUACAUAAGGGAUAAUGAUGAGAUAGCCUUGUAAGCAUUUUGGUUUACCGGAUAAACUCAGUGCCCUCGUUGCUAGUUGUCUGUUGCGUAGUCAAUGAAUUUGAAAUAAAACUGAACCAUGCCUAGAUUGCUCUACUCGACCACAUUGUCAUAAUCUGAUACCAUUCCCUAUCAAUUUGAACCUGAAUCUGAUCUUUAAUUAUCAUGUCUGCAUCAAAUUUGAACUCAUGGAUACCUUAAAAUACUUGGAUUUUCUUAUUCAUUUUGAUCACUCUUGUUAAUCCAAGUAGCUGACUCUCCUUAUUAGAGCAGUUAACCCAAACCCAAAACUAGACUUUCUUUCAAGCCCUAUAUCACUUGUGAGUGUUUGUGAGGUCUUAUUCCGAUUAAGCUUGGUAGAAAGUGUUAGGUUCGUAACGACAGAGAUAGUGUCUCAUGUAGUUCUAGUUCGCAUUUUUCGGACUAGAUAGGACUAGGUGGACGCUUAUACUUUGGGUUGGGAUGUGUUUAAAAGAAAAAAAGGGUUGAUUAAUUGAUAAAAAAAGGUAAAAGACUCUAGGUGAAGUAAGCUAAAGAAGCAGAAAAAGUGUAGUAAAGGUUUUGGGAUUUGAAAAGAAAAGAAAGAGUUCUUGUUAGCUAUUGAAGAUGGGCAAAAGCCCUUGGUUUUAAAAUGUUAAAAACAGGAACCUUAGUUGUUAAAGAAAUCCAAAUCCGCUAGAUGUAUCAAAGUGUUGAGAAAGCUUCUCCUAGAGUUAAGAGAAAAGAAAAGAAUGAUUAGAAAGAAAAA